GGAGGAAAGGGGGCCCGCAAAAAUUUGACAACUCGGAGCGCAGGAAGCUCCGGAACUCUUCGGGAGGGAAGUGAAGGAAAAAGGGGGGGCGGACGGGUGAGUAACACGUAAGGAACCUUCCUUCCAAGGGAUUGGGAUAACUCCGAGAAAUCGGAGCUAAUACCGAAUAGUUCUUCAGACCGCAUGGUCUGAUGAUGAAAGGCGCUCCGGCGUCACCUUGGGAUGGCCUUGCGGUGCAUUAGCUAGUUGGUGGGGUAAUGGCCCACCAAGGCGACGAUGCAUAGCCGACCUGAGAGGGUGAUCGGCCACACUGGGACUGAGACACGGCCCAGACUCCUACGGGAGGCAGCAGUAGGGAAUCUUCCACAAUGGACGAAAGUCUGAUGGAGCAACGCCGCGUGAGUGAUGAAGGUUUUCGGAUCGUAAAACUCUGUUGUAAGGGAAGAACAAGUACGAGAGGUAAUGCUCGUACCUUGACGGUACCUUGCGAGAAAGCCACGGCUAACUACGUGCCAGCAGCCGCGGUAAUACGUAGGUGGCAAGCGUUGUCCGGAAUUAUUGGGCGUAAAGCGCGCGCAGGCGGCCUUUUAAGUCUGAUGUGAAAGCCCCCGGCUCAACCGGGGAGGGUCAUUGGAAACUGGAAGGCUUGAGUACAGAAGAGAAGAGUGGAAUUCCAUGUGUAGCGGUGAAAUGCGUAGAGAUGUGGAGGAACACCAGUGGCGAAGGCGACUCUUUGGUCUGUAACUGACGCUGAGGCGCGAAAGCGUGGGGAGCAAACAGGAUUAGAUACCCUGGUAGUCCACGCCGUAAACGAUGAGUGCUAGGUGUUGGGGGGGUUUCCGGCCCCUCAGUGCUGAAGCUAACGCAUUAAGCACUCCGGCCUGGGGGAGUACGGGCCGCAAGGCUGAAACUCAAGGGAAUUGGACGGGGGACCCUGCACCAGGCGGUGGAUCAUGGUGGGUUUAUUUCGCAAACCAACGUGAAAGAAACCUUAUCCAACUUCUUGACAUCCCCUUUGACCGCCUUUGAGAGAUCAAGUUGUCCCUUCAGGGACCAAGGGGUGGACCAGGUGGGUUGCCAUGGGCUGUUCCCUCAGCUCUCGUUGUUCGGUGAGAAAUGUAGUGGGUUAAUAUACUG
RNAcentral lists this ribosomal RNA (1137 nucleotides) under bacterium RB15U. RNAcentral describes it as "bacterial SSU rRNA". It matches the Rfam family "Bacterial small subunit ribosomal RNA", at positions 53 to 1089 of the family's 1533-position model. The record is from RNAcentral.